GGCGAACGCUGGCGGCAUGCCUAAUAUAUGCAAGUCGAGAGAACAGAUGAAGUGCUUGCACUUCUGACGUUAGCGGCGAACGGGUGAGUAACACGUAAGGAAUCUACCUAUAAGCGGGGGAUAACAUUCGGAAACGGGUGCUAAUACCGCAUAAUAUCUUCUUCCGCAUGGAAGAAGAUUGAAAGACGGCUCUGCUGUCACUUAUAGAUGACCUUGCGGUGCAUUAGUUAGUUGGUGGGGUAACGGCCUACCAAGACGAUGAUGCAUAGCCGACCUGAGGGGGUGAUCGGCCACAUUGGGACUGGGACACGGCCCAAACUCCUACGGGAGGCAGCAGUAGGGAAUCUUCCGCAAUGGGCGAAAGCGUGACGGAGCAAUGCCGCGUGAGUGAAGAAGGCCUUCGGGUCGUAAAACUCUGUUAUAAGAGAAGAAUAAAUUGUAGAGUAACUGCUACAGUCUUGACGGUAUCUUAUCAGAAAGCCACGGCUAACUACGUGCCAGCCGACGCCGUAA
Molecule: ribosomal RNA, 513 nt
Filed under: uncultured bacterium
Lineage: Bacteria
Description: partial 16S ribosomal RNA
Rfam family: Bacterial small subunit ribosomal RNA
Source: RNAcentral